Molecule: ribosomal RNA, 536 nt
Filed under: uncultured bacterium
Lineage: Bacteria
Description: bacterial SSU rRNA
Rfam family: Bacterial small subunit ribosomal RNA
Source: RNAcentral
GGGAUUUGGCAUGGGCGCAGCCUGNCCAGCCAUGCCGCGUGGUGAUGAAGGCCCUAGGGUUGUAAAGUCCUUUCGGCGGGGAAGAUAAUGACGGUACCCGCAGAAGAAGCCCCGGCUAACUUCGUGCCAGCAGCCGCGGUAAUACGAAGGGGGCUAGCGUUGCUCGGAAUCACNUGGGCGUAAAGCGCACGUAGGCGGCUUUCUAAGUCAGAGGUGAAAUCCUGGAGCUCAACUCCAGAACUGCCUUUGAUACUGGAGAGCUUGAGUCCGGGAGAGGUGAGUGGAACUGCGAGUGUAGAGGUGAAAUUCGUAGAUAUUCGCAAGAACACCAGUGGCGAAGGCGGCUCACUGGCCCGGUACUGACGCUGAGGUGCGAAAGCGUGGGGAGCAAACAGGAUUAGAUACCCUGGUAGUCCACGCCGUAAACGAUGGAUGCUAGCCGUUGUCGGGUUUACCCGUCAGUGNCGCAGCUAACGCAUUAAGCAUCCCGCCUGGGGAGUACGGUCGCAAGAUUAAAACUCAAAAAAAUUGACGGA